This 492-nucleotide ribosomal RNA is filed under the name uncultured bacterium. Its description in RNAcentral is "partial 16S ribosomal RNA". It matches the Rfam family "Bacterial small subunit ribosomal RNA", at positions 29 to 507 of the family's 1533-position model. The record is from RNAcentral.
AGUGAACGCUGGCGGUAGGCCUAACACAUGCAAGUCGAACGGCAGCACAGUAAGCUCUUUCUCUUACGGUUGGCGAGUUGCGGACGUUUGAGUAAUACAUCGGAAUCUACUUUUUCUUGGGUGUUAACGUAGGGUAACUUACCCUAAUACCUCAUACUACCUACGGUUGAAUUCAUUUGAUCUUCUGUCCUUUCGCGUUUCUAUGAGCCGAUGUCGGAUUAGCUAGUUGGCGGGGUAAAGGCCCACCAAGGCGACGAUCCGUAGCUGGUCUGAGAGGAUGAGCAGACAAACUGGAAGUGAGAAACGGUCCAGACAACUACGGGAGGAAGCAGAGGGGAAUAUUGGACAAAGGGCGCAAGCCUGAUCAAGCAAUACCGCGUGGGUGAAGAAGGAGUUCGGGUUGUAAAGACCUUUUGUUGGGAAAGAAAAGAAGCAGGUUAAUACCCCGAUGUUAUGACGGUACCAAAAGAAUAAGCACCGGCUAACUUCGUG